GAUGAACGCUGGCGGCGUGCCUAAUACAUGCCAGUCGAACGCCUACCCAAUGAUACUUGCACCUUUCAAGUGACUGGCGACGGGCUGAGUAACACGUCGACGACCUCUCCCAUGUCUUGGGAUAACAUUUGGAAACAGUUACUAAUAUCGAAUAUACCUUCUUCUCGCAUGACCCAAAGUUAUACGGCCCUUCGGCGUCACCUUGAGCUGAAUCCGCGUUGCAUUAGUUAGUUGGUGGGGUAAGGGCCUACCAAGGCAAUGAUGCAUAGCCGAGCUGAGAGAAUGAUCGGCCACAUUGGAACUGAGACACGGUCCAGACUCCUACGGGAGGCUGCAGUAGGGAAUCUUGGACAAUGGGCGAAAGCCUGAUGGAGCAACGCCGCGUGGGUGAAGAAGGCCUUCGGGUCGUAAAGCACUGUUGUAGGGGAAGAAAAGCUGGAAUAGGAAACGAUGUUAGUUUGACGGUACCAUAACAGAAAGGAACGGCUAAAUACGUG
RNAcentral lists this ribosomal RNA (497 nucleotides) under uncultured bacterium. RNAcentral describes it as "partial 16S ribosomal RNA". It matches the Rfam family "Bacterial small subunit ribosomal RNA", at positions 28 to 507 of the family's 1533-position model. The record is from RNAcentral.